This is a non-coding RNA of Parelaphostrongylus tenuis, 73 nucleotides long. NCBI's taxonomy places the organism in Eukaryota, Metazoa, Nematoda, Chromadorea, Rhabditida, Metastrongylidae. The record is from the annotation of a GenBank genome assembly.
GCCUCGGUGGUGUAGUGGUAGAGCACGCGUCCCCGGAUAGGACGAAACGGUGGUUCGAUUCCCACCUGAGGCC